UCCCAGGUGGCUCAGUGGUAAAGAAUCUGCCUGCCAAGCAGGAGACAUGGGUUUGAUCCCUGGAUUGGGAA
This is a non-coding RNA of Bos taurus (domestic cattle), 71 nucleotides long. Lineage: Eukaryota; Metazoa; Chordata; Mammalia; Artiodactyla; Bovidae. The record is from Rfam.